AUCCGUUGGUUUCACAGGACCGUGAGGGUUCGAAUCCCUCUAUCCCCA
Molecule: transfer RNA, 48 nt
Filed under: Arachniodes tonkinensis
Lineage: Eukaryota; Viridiplantae; Streptophyta; Polypodiopsida; Polypodiales; Dryopteridaceae
Also listed under: 2 other names
Description: partial tRNA-Leu
Source: RNAcentral